UUAGCUCUCUUUGCCUUUUGGCUUAGAUCAAGUGUAGUAUCUGUUCUUUUCAGUUUAAUCUCUGAAACGGACCUACGGGUCCUUUUUUUGAUUAUUCCAAUUUUUUCAACCCUGCCGGUGGUCAUUGGGCUUGCUCAAUGGCCACAUUGGCACAGUGUCGUCUGUAUUGCACUCUCUCAGACAGAUGCGAAUUUCG
RNAcentral lists this small nuclear RNA (196 nucleotides) under Dothideomycetidae sp. 11243. Its description in RNAcentral is "fungal sp. No.11243 U2 spliceosomal RNA". It matches the Rfam family "U2 spliceosomal RNA". Rfam says of the family: U2 is a small nuclear RNA (snRNA) component of the spliceosome (involved in pre-mRNA splicing). Complementary binding between U2 snRNA (in an area lying towards the 5' end but 3' to hairpin I) and the branchpoint sequence (BPS) of the intron results the bulging out of an unpaired adenosine, on the BPS, which initiates a nucleophilic attack at the intronic 5' splice site, thus starting the first of two transesterification reactions that mediate splicing. Lineage: Eukaryota; Fungi; Ascomycota; Dothideomycetes. The record is from Rfam by way of RNAcentral.